Molecule: ribosomal RNA, 368 nt
Filed under: uncultured bacterium
Lineage: Bacteria
Description: bacterial SSU rRNA
Rfam family: Bacterial small subunit ribosomal RNA
Source: RNAcentral
GAUAAACGCUGGCGGCGUGCAUAACACAUUCAAGUCGAACGGUGACGAGGGCUUCGGUCCUCUGAUCAGUGGCGGACGGGUGAGUAACGCGUGAGUAACCUGCCUCAGAGUGGGGAAUAACGUCUGGAAACGGACGCUAAUACCGCAUAACACACAGACUUCGCAUGGAGACUGUGUCAAAGAUUUAUUGCUCUGAGAUGGACUCGCGUCCGAUUAGGUAGUUGGUGAGGUAACGGCCCACCAAGCCGACGAUCGGUAGCCGGACUGAGAGGUUGAACGGCCACAUUGGAACUGAGAUACGGUCCAGACUCUACGGGAGGCAGCAGUGGGGAAUAUUGGGCAAUGGGCGAAAGCCUGACCCAGCGACG